GCCAGGGAUGGGCGCGGGCUUAUAGAUUUCUCCCUCCAAAAUAAGCGUGGAAGUUAUUAGCCAAAGGCUUCCCCUAAAGAAUAGGAGCUUAUAUUAUUGCCUGAAAAAGAGAGGGUCUUAAUAGAGAAUUUACCGUAUGCAGGAGCAAAAUAUCCGAGCAGCAAUGAGCCCAAUUCGGCCAGUUUUGACGUUCUGACUGUUGUUGUACGGCCGAAGCUGAGCUAAUGGUGACCAGAUCGAACGCGGCAAAAGCUCAGCGUGUUGGUGGGACGGAAUUUUCUGUGUGCCUGUAAUUGCCUUUUAUGGAAGCUGGCCUGGACCCCAUUCCAGCAUUCUCUGCUCACAAAGCAGAUUGUCAAUCAUUGAUCCAGUCAUUGAUCCAAUAGCUCUUUGAGCUUUUGUCGUAAUCUGUGCGACUUUGCUUGAGCC
Non-coding RNA from Paramuricea clavata, 429 nucleotides. The record is from the annotation of a GenBank genome assembly. NCBI's taxonomy places the organism in Eukaryota, Metazoa, Cnidaria, Anthozoa, Malacalcyonacea, Plexauridae.